GAUGAACGCUAGCGGCAGGCUUAAUACAUGCAAGUCGAGGGGCAGCACGGUUAGCAAUAACUGGUGGCGACCGGCGCACGGGUGCGUAACACGUAUACAAUCUACCUUAAACAGGGGGAUAGCCUUUCGAAAGAGAGAUUAAUACCCCGUAAUAAAUUGAACGGCAUCGUUUGAUUUUGAAAGCUCCGGCGGUUUGAGAUGAGUAUGCGUCUGAUUAGCUAGUUGGUGAGGUAACGGCUCACCAAGGCGACGAUCAGUAGGGGAUCUGAGAGGACUAACCCCCACACUGGUACUGAGACACGGACCAGACUCCUACGGGAGGCAGCAGUAAGGAAUAUUGGUCAAUGGAGGCAACUCUGAACCAGCCAUGCCGCGUGCAGGGAUGACGGCCCUAUGGUUGUAAACUGCUUUUAUACAAGAGAAAACCCUGGUAACG
RNAcentral lists this ribosomal RNA (436 nucleotides) under uncultured bacterium. RNAcentral's name for it is "bacterial SSU rRNA". It matches the Rfam family "Bacterial small subunit ribosomal RNA", at positions 28 to 461 of the family's 1533-position model. The record is from RNAcentral.